UACGUAGGCAGCGAGCGUUGUUCGGAGUUACUGGGCGUAAAGGGUGUGUAGGCGGUUCUCUAAGUUUGGUGUGAAAUCUCCCGGCUCAACCGGGAGGGUGCGACGAAAACUGGAGGGCUAGAGUGCGGGAAGGGAGAGUAGAAUUCCUGGUGUAGCGGUGAAAUGCGUAGAUAUCAGGAGGAAUACCGGUGGUGUAGACGGCUCUCUGGACCGCGACUGACGCUGAGACACGAAAGCGUGGGUAGCAAACAGG
Molecule: ribosomal RNA, 253 nt
Filed under: uncultured bacterium
Lineage: Bacteria
Description: partial 16S ribosomal RNA
Rfam family: Bacterial small subunit ribosomal RNA
Source: RNAcentral